RNAcentral lists this ribosomal RNA (427 nucleotides) under uncultured bacterium. RNAcentral's name for it is "partial 16S ribosomal RNA". It matches the Rfam family "Bacterial small subunit ribosomal RNA", at positions 355 to 774 of the family's 1533-position model. The record is from RNAcentral.
UGGGGAAUAUUGCACAAUGGGCGCAAGCCUGAUGCAGCCAUGCCGCGUGUAUGAAGAAGGCCUUCGGGUUGUAAAGUACUUUCAGCGGGGAGGAAGGCGAUAAGGUUAAUAACCUUGUCGAUUGACGUUACCCGAAGAAGAAGCACCGGCUAACUCCGUGCCAGCAGCCGCGGUAAUACGGAGGGUGCAAGCGUUAAUCGGAAUUACUGGGCGUAAAGCGCACGCAGGCGGUCUGUCAAGUCGGAUGUGAAAUCCCCGGGCUCAACCUGGGAACUGCAUUCGAAACUGGCAGGCUAGAGUCUUGUAGAGGGGGGUAGAAUUCCAGGUGUAGCGGUGAAAUGCGUAGAGAUCUGGAGGAAUACCGGUGGCGAAGGCGGCCCCCUGGACAAAGACUGACGCUCAGGUGCGAAAGCGUGGGGAGCAAACA